Molecule: long non-coding RNA, 2426 nt
Organism: Triticum aestivum (bread wheat)
Lineage: Eukaryota; Viridiplantae; Streptophyta; Magnoliopsida; Poales; Poaceae
Exons: 3
Source: RefSeq, a predicted model, not a curated record
GUAGGGGAGGGCGAGGUCGCCGGUGGAAAUCCCUCUCAUGAUACCUCCCCUUUCGCCUUUAAAGUAGUGGAGAAACAAGGAGAGGCUCGCGAUUACAGUAGAGUGAUUGUUGUCGAUCUGGUCCUGUUCUUCCGGCUAACAGCAUGGGCAGUGCUUUUUGAUAAAAGACGGGUUUAUUAACUCAAAAUAUAGCAUCAAGCAUAUACAACACAUCAUGAGCCACAUCUGCCUCUACUUAAUUAGGAUGCACACAGCCAAAAGAAACAAGUCCAAUUAUAAAAUAGUAAGUCGACAUAAUGGUAUCAGCAAAACCAGACAAGACCGGCCAUAUUCCUACACUGAAGGAUGAGGUGGACCGAGCGCCAGUGCGUACAUGGGCAACGUAUGUGAAUGUUUGUAGAAGUUGAUUUCACGGAUCGUAGGUUGACUGUCAUUUCUGGCCAAAGAAAUACCUAAUAUAUUUUGUACAAUCAGCUUGAAUAUUUAGACAUAAUAUCCUCUGUCUAGAACCUAGCUCACAGCUAAAUAUAUUAGUUUGCAUACAACAUAUUAUGUGGUAGUAAAUACAUGCUAGCAGCCCCUUGCGGUGUAUAUUCAUUUUUUUCUUCUAAAUUAUGCUAUUUGCUGAUGAUAUGAUCACGACUAUCCACUAUUCUCCUUCAAAAAUAAUGGGUUACAUGAUGUUCUCGUUAUGCAACUACUCUUAUUGGAUAAAAGCUAUUUAAUUGAUUUAUCUAUUUAUCAAAAUUUUAGGCUUCUAAAAUACUGCUAACUAUUAUUCUGCAAUGGUAUUGUAUGAUAGCCAAAUCUAUUGAUGAUGCCAUGCAGCUUUCACAUAGCUAUGGGUUUCAGCAGAGGGAUUUUGGACAUACUGUUAUUCUUUUUGUUUUAAGCAUUAUCAGAAUAUUGACUGAUUGUAUUUUGGAAGAUUGGGGCACUCCAAGUAUCUCUAAUAAGGAACAUGACAAUAUUUGUGCCAUUGGAGUAAACACGCAUAGGGAUUUAGAUGGCAAGGGGAGUCCGCUUGACAUGAGAGAUAAGCACCGUGAACAACUAUGGAGGAAGAAUAAACUCAUGACUUUAGAAGUUGUUGAGCAGAUCACUGCUAACAAAAAUGCCCAAGUAUUUCUUCGGCUUGUCUAUCUUAACACGUAUGCAGAAGUAUCUUAUUUCUUAAUUUUUUUAUUUUCAUGCAAAUUCUAUCGAUUAGAAGUUUGUAUAUCUCCAACUGCAUACUCCCUACGUAAAAAUAUAAAUUUCAGUGAUUCUUCUCAAUAUAGAUAUGUUUUAGUUGGAAUUUUAGAACUUGUGACCUAAACAAACCUUGGAGUAUAAUUUGACCUUUUUAGCAUGAUAUUAGAUGGUUACUCUAUGCCAAAACAUUUUUUCUUUGAGUUGACUCGGUCUUGCAAUCAUGCUAUGUCGUUUCCAAUCUGACAAAAUUUCAGCUUGCCUGAUGUCAGCAUUAAUUCUACUCCUUCUUUCACAUAUCUUUCUUAAAAUAGGAAAUGUUUUCAUCACAUAUAAGUAGCUUCAUAAGCAAAUGCAAAUCUAUAUGAUCUUUCUUAUGUUUUAGGAUCUAAACACGUAUUAAUAGCCUGUGACGCAUAGUUUUGCUGAAUUUUAACAGACGUAAUGAGUAUGUUGUGGUUUAAUUUAAUAACUUUGCAAAUCCUUUUUAAGGUUUCAGAUUAUUUGGAGAACACUUUUCCAUAUUAUGUAAUUGAUAUUUAAGUGUUUCAUCUAUUUGUGUUUUAUGCUGAUGGAAAACAUUGUUUCCUUUUUGGCUCGGCUAGGGUAGACCUGAAAAUUUCAAAAGUUUGCUUCAGAGAGUUCAACUUACUGUUGCCCUUAAAUCAAAGAAUUUUGCAUCCGCAAAUACUCUGCUAGAUAACUUGAUGAUACAUAUACAGAAGGUUAGAAGCACAUGUUAUCAGUUAGGCAGGAGUAAGCUAUUGAGAGUUAUUGUUAGUACACGACCUUUCAGUUCAACAACAUGCAAUAUGUUUGGAGCUGGAAAGGGCUCUUGUUGGAUUCCUUUUGACUUGUUUAUGGAGAGUGCAAUGGAUGGUAGACAUCUUCGUGCCAUAUCAUCGAUCGAAGCUCUAACAGAACUCUCCAAGAUGCUCCAAGCGAUUACUCGGGCUACCUGGCAAGAGACCUUUCAAGCUUUGUGGAUUUCAGCUUUGCGGCUUAUACAUCGAGACCCAAGCACUCUGGAAGGACCGCUUCCUCAUCUUGAUUCUCGAUUAUGCAUGUUGUUAGCUAUUGUUCCUUUGGCUAUUGCUCCCAUUUUGAAGGAAUAUGCUAACAAUGUCGAGCCGGGAGUGGCCUCUAUUAGAAUAGAAGAAUUAAUGUCUUCUCUACAAGUUCUGGGGCAAUUUUUUGGACUUCUUUCACCCCCUCCAGCAACUGUACAUGCAACA